RNAcentral lists this ribosomal RNA (429 nucleotides) under bacterium. Its description in RNAcentral is "partial 16S ribosomal RNA". It matches the Rfam family "Bacterial small subunit ribosomal RNA", at positions 355 to 776 of the family's 1533-position model. The record is from RNAcentral.
UAGGGAAUCUUCCACAAUGGACGCAAGUCUGAUGGAGCAACGCCGCGUGAGUGAAGAAGGUUUUCGGAUCGUAAAGCUCUGUUGUUGGUGAAGAAGGAUAGAGGUAGUAACUGGCCUUUAUUUGACGGUAAUCAACCAGAAAGUCACGGCUAACUACGUGCCAGCAGCCGCGGUAAUACGUAGGUGGCAAGCGUUGUCUGGAUUUAUUGGGCGUAAAGCGAGCGCAGGCGGAAGAAUAAGUCUGAUGUGAAAGCCCUCGGCUUAACCGAGGAACUGCAUCGGAAACUGUUUUUCUUGAGUGCAGAAGAGGAGAGUGGAACUCCAUGUGUAGCGGUGGAAUGCGUAGAUAUAUGGAAGAACACCAGUGGCGAAGGCGACUCUCUGGUCUGCAACUGACGCUGAGGCUCGAAAGCAUGGGUAGCGAACAGG